GAAAAAGAACUACAAGAACUGCUAAUUCAUGUGCUCCACACCUAACAAUGUGGCUUUUUCN
Molecule: transfer RNA, 61 nt
Filed under: Orcinus orca (killer whale)
Lineage: Eukaryota; Metazoa; Chordata; Mammalia; Artiodactyla; Delphinidae
Description: tRNA-Ser
Source: RNAcentral